RNAcentral lists this ribosomal RNA (419 nucleotides) under bacterium. RNAcentral's name for it is "partial 16S ribosomal RNA". It matches the Rfam family "Bacterial small subunit ribosomal RNA", at positions 355 to 776 of the family's 1533-position model. The record is from RNAcentral.
UGGGGGAUAUUGCACAAUGGGCGCAAGCCUGAUGCAGCGACGCCGCGUGGGGGAUGAAGGCCUUCGGGUUGUAAACUUCUUUUGCUCUGAACAAGGCGCACUUUGGGGUGUGUUGAGUGUAGGGGUUGAUUAGCGCCGGCUAACUACGUGCCAGCAGCCGCGGUAAUACGUAGGGUGCGAGCGUUGUCCGGAAUUAUUGGGCGUAAAGGGCUUGUAGGUGGCUGGUUGCGUCUGUCGUGAAAGCUCAUGGCUUAACUGUGGGUUUGCGGUGGGUACGGGCUGGCUUGAGUGCAGUAGGGGAGGCUGGAAUUCCUGGUGUAGCGGUGGAAUGCGCAGAUAUCAGGAGGAAUACCGGUGGCGAAGGCGGGUCUCUGGGCUGUUACUGACACUGAGGAGCGAAAGCAUGGGGAGCGAACAGG